GAACGAACGCUGGCGGCGUGGAUAAGACAUGCAAGUCGAACGAGAACUACGAAUAGCUUGCUAAUUGUAGUUCUAGUGGCGGACGGGUGCGUAACACGUGAGCAACCUGCCCUAAAGUGGGGGAUAGUCCUUCGAAAGGAGGUUUAAUACCGCCCGCAUGUGGUCUUCGGAUCAAAGACGGCUUCGGCUGUCGCUUUGGGAUGGGCUCGCGGCCUAUCAGCUUGUUGGUGAGGUAAUGGCUCACCAAGGCUACGACGGGUACCUGGUCUGAGAGGACGAUCAGGCACACUGGAACUGAGACACGGUCCAGACACCUACGGGUGGCAGCAGUCGAGAAUCAUUCACAAUGGGGGAAACCCUGAUGGUGCAACGCCGCGUGGAGGAUGACGGUCUUCGGAUUGUAAACUCCUGUCAUCUGGGAGUAAGCCUUGUCGGUUAAUACCCGUGGGGUUUGAUAGUAUCUGAAGAGGAAGGGACGGCUAACUUCGUGCCAGCAGCCGCGGUAAUACGAAGGUCCCAAGCGUUGUUCGGAAUCACUGGGCGUAAAGCGCGUGCAGGCGGCGCGGUAAGUCAGAUGUGAAAUCCCGGGGCUCAACCCCGGAACUGCAUCCGAUACUACCGUGCUAGAGGACUGGAGAGGGAUGUGGAAUUCUUGGUGGAGCAGUGAAAUGCGUAGAGAUCAAGAGGAACACCAACGGCGAAGGCAACAUCCUGGACAGAUCCUGACGCUCAGACGCGAAGGCUAGGGUAGCGAACGGGAUUAGAUACCCCGGUAGUCCUAGCAGUAAACGGUGCACGCUUGGUGUGGGAGGACUCGACCCCUUCCGUGCCGGAGCUAACGCGUUAAGCGUGCCGCCUGGGGAGUACGGUCGCAAGAUUAAAACUCAAAGAAAUUGACGGGGACCCGCACAAGCGGUGGAGUAUGUGGCUUAAUUCGAUGCAACGCGAAGAACCUUACCUGGGCUUGACAUGCAUCUCUAAACCGGUGAAAGCCGGGGAGACUUCGGUCACCUUGCACAGGUGCUGCAUGGCCGUCGUCAGCUCGUGUCGUGAGAUGUUUGGUUAAGUCCAGCAACGAGCGCAACCCCUGUGAAUAGUUGCCAGCGCGUAAUGGCGGGGACUCUGUUCAGACUGCCCAGAUCAACUGGGAGGAAGGUGGGGACGACGUCAGGUCAGUAUGGCCCUUACGCCUAGGGCUGCACACGUACUACAAUGCCCAGCACAAUGAGAACCAAGACCGCGAGGUGGAGGAAAUCUAUAAAACUGGGCCCAGUUCGGAUUGGAGGCUGCAACUCGCCUCCAUGAAGUCGGAAUCGCUAGUAAUGCCGUAUCAGCUACGACGGCGUGAAUACGUUCCCGGGUCUUGUACACACCGCCCGUCACAUCAUGGAAGCCGGUCGCACCCGAAGUAUAUGCGCUAACUUAGCAGUAAGAGGCAGUGUUCUAAGGUAAGGCUGGUAACUGGGAUG
RNAcentral lists this ribosomal RNA (1469 nucleotides) under uncultured prokaryote. Its description in RNAcentral is "partial 16S ribosomal RNA". It matches the Rfam family "Bacterial small subunit ribosomal RNA". The record is from RNAcentral.